UACGGGGGGAGCAAGCGUUGUUCGGAUUUACUGGGCGUAAAGGGCGCGUAGGCGGCCACUGCAAGUCGGUUGUGAAAUCUCCGGGCUUAACCCGGAAAGGUCAAUCGAUACUGCAGGGCUAGAGUGCAGAAGGGGCAACUGGAAUUCUCGGUGUAGCGGUGAAAUGCGUAGAUAUCGAGAGGAACACCUGCGGCGAAGGCGGGUUGCUGGGCUGACACUGACGCUGAAGCGCGAAAGCCAGGGGAGCGAACGGG
RNAcentral lists this ribosomal RNA (254 nucleotides) under uncultured bacterium. RNAcentral's name for it is "partial 16S ribosomal RNA". It matches the Rfam family "Bacterial small subunit ribosomal RNA", at positions 524 to 776 of the family's 1533-position model. The record is from RNAcentral.